AAACCUACGGGAGGCAGCAGUGAGGAAUAUUGGUCAAUGGCCGAGAGGCUGAACCAGCCAAGUCGCGUGAGGGAAGAAUGUCCUAUGGAUUGUAAACCUCUUUUGUCAGGGAGCAAAGUCACCCACGUGUGGGUGUUGGAGAGUACCUGAAGAAAAAGCAUCGGCUAACUCCGUGCCAGCAGCCGCGGUAAUACGGAGGAUGCGAGCGUUAUCCGGAUUUACUGGGUGUAAAGGGAGCGCAGGCGGCGCGCCAAGUCUGGUGUGAAACCCCGGGGCUCAACCCCGGGACUGCAUUGGAAACUGGC
This 305-nucleotide ribosomal RNA is filed under the name uncultured bacterium. Its description in RNAcentral is "bacterial SSU rRNA". It matches the Rfam family "Bacterial small subunit ribosomal RNA", at positions 335 to 637 of the family's 1533-position model. The record is from RNAcentral.